GCGUUCGUAGCUCAGUUGGAUAGAGCGCCGGACUUCGAAUCCGUAGGUCGCAGGUUCGAAUCCUGUCGAGCGCA
Molecule: transfer RNA, 74 nt
Filed under: Spirochaetales bacterium
Lineage: Bacteria; Pseudomonadati; Spirochaetota; Spirochaetia; Spirochaetales
Description: tRNA-Arg
Rfam family: tRNA
About the family: Transfer RNA (tRNA) molecules are approximately 80 nucleotides in length. Their secondary structure includes four short double-helical elements and three loops (D, anti-codon, and T loops).
Source: RNAcentral